RNAcentral lists this long non-coding RNA (645 nucleotides) under Vulpes vulpes (red fox). RNAcentral describes it as "lncRNA (ENSVVUG00000021804.1)". The record is from RNAcentral. Lineage: Eukaryota; Metazoa; Chordata; Mammalia; Carnivora; Canidae.
GGGCGGUUUCCCUUACAUUUGGGGACCGAAGAGUCUGGGCUUUUCCCACAAAUUCUCUGGGAACAGAAAUGCUGCAUUUUUCGUUUCAGGAUAAUGAAUUCAAUAUCUAAAAACCUACAGAAGAAAUGAGGAGUUAUCCUUCUUGUCCUGGAGGGCAAAUAAAUGAGACAUUUUCAAGAGAUGCCGUGAGCAGAAGCCAUCUGUUUGAAAGUGCUCGGAUCAUAGAAGCUGAAACGUUCCUUCCUGCCCUGGGCCAAUGGUCACCUAGACCAGCGUUUUCAAUGUCCUCAGCGAGCAGUACAGGUAGCUGACAAGUUACGACGGUGGCCUGUCGCAGUGGACCGAUGUUUUUGUCCCCUCCACAUUCAGAGGUCAGAAACUUAAUCCCAGUGGGAUGGGAUUUGGAGGUGGAGCCUUGGAAGGUAAUCAGGUCUUGAGGAGGGAGCCUCGGUGAUUGGGAUUAGUGCCCUUAUAAGAAGAAGCCCGAGAGCAGCGAGCUCUUUUCCUGCCAUGUGAAAACACAGCAGGAUGACCUCAGUAAACCAGAAGGGAUGUUUUUCACCCAGAACUCAACUGUGCUGCCUCCCUGGUCAGACUUCCCAGCCUCCAGAACUGUGAGAAAUAAACAUUUGUUUUUUUAAACCA